RNAcentral lists this long non-coding RNA (305 nucleotides) under Dromaius novaehollandiae (emu). Its description in RNAcentral is "lncRNA (ENSDNVG00000002215.1)". The record is from RNAcentral. Lineage: Eukaryota; Metazoa; Chordata; Aves; Casuariiformes; Dromaiidae.
UGUCUUAAUCCACUUAACUGUAUAGAUAUAUUUCAUGCCAGCCCAUUGGGAUACAAUUUCCUAAACUUUAAAGCAAGUUGUGAUCAUGCAGUACUCCACCAAGCAGAGUCACAACCAUCCAUUGCUUUUCUCUUUGCAGAUGACAGAGCGCACACCUGUUUGAAGGAGGUCCUGACUGAUCUUCCUCUGAUUUUGGGCCUGGCAGCUCCUGCCCGUGUGUGCCGUGAAGCAGUGAAGAAGGGCCCUUGCCCCAAGGACCACGCCUCAGCUAAGAGACCAGAGAGAAUGGGUGGGUGCCAGGAACA